This 525-nucleotide unclassified non-coding RNA is filed under the name Zea mays. RNAcentral describes it as "misc RNA Zm00001eb384190". Lineage: Eukaryota; Viridiplantae; Streptophyta; Magnoliopsida; Poales; Poaceae. The record is from RNAcentral.
GCUCAGGGAAGAACGACGCCAUGGGAGCUUGGCUUAGGCGAGCAGGAAGGGGCGACCAGUGCCAUAAGAACGAGCUGGAGAUGGGGGAAACCGACCUGACAGCGAGCCGGAGCAAGGAAGGCGCGAUUGAGGGAGAAGUAGAGAGGAAGGAGCCAAGCGCUGGAAGCCGCGGCCCUGGAGGAGCAGAGCGCGAGCUGCAGCAGGGGCCGAGCGCCAUGGGAACUCCGCGAGCUGGAGCUAGAGGAAGGAGCGCGGACGGGCGGGGCCUCGGCCGACCAGGAGGAGAAGAGAAAGGAGCGGUUGCGCUGGGCGAGCUGCACCACCGGCGAGCUCCAUGGCUGGGAGGAGCUCGGGGCACGCCAUGGAAAAGCACCAGGGAGAGGAAGACGCGAGGGAGAGAGAGGAAUCCAGGGCUGUGGAGAGCUCGGCUGCUUGCAGCGAGUAGAGGAAGAGCGCGGCUUGGGGAGAUGCCAAGGAGAGGGACGCGUGUGGAAGGAGCGAUUGAAGACGACGACUGAAAUUGGG